RNAcentral lists this ribosomal RNA (253 nucleotides) under uncultured bacterium. Its description in RNAcentral is "partial 16S ribosomal RNA". It matches the Rfam family "Bacterial small subunit ribosomal RNA", at positions 524 to 776 of the family's 1533-position model. The record is from RNAcentral.
UACGUAGGGGGCUAGCGUUGUCCGGAAUCACUGGGCGUAAAGCGCACGUAGGCGGCUUUUUAAGUCAGGGGUGAAAUCCUGGAGCUCAACUCCAGAACUGCCUUUGAUACUGAGAAGCUUGAGUCCGGGAGAGGUGAGUGGAACUGCGAGUGUAGAGGUGAAAUUCGUAGAUAUUCGCAAGAACACCAGUGGCGAAGGCGGCUCACUGGCCCGGUACUGACGCUGAGGUGCGAAAGCGUGGGGAGCAAACAGG